AUGAGAUCCGUUUUUUCCUAUCUGCUAGUGGAACAAGACUUCCCUUCCUCUUUUCCCCCUGAAGCCCCCCCACCUCACCACAUGCUCAGCAGGGGAGCCUCUGGAGCAGAUUUGGCAGAGGGAUCUGUGGGGAUCUGCAGGGAACAGGAGAGGAAGGCAAAAUCCACUCACACCAUGCUGGAUACCAGUCCAUCUAAUGACAUGCAAGAAACCUACUUGGCAUCCACAGUAGGGAAAGCACAGGGAUCCUGCAGUGUGGUGAUAUCACAACCUGAGCUCCCAUCAGUCCCAACCACCUUGACCAAUGGUAAGGAUUAAUGAGAGUUGUAAUCCAACAUCUCCACAUCUCAAUUUAUUUAUUCAUGUACUCAUUUCAUGUAGAAAAUAAACCACCUAUAACCAAAAACGGGUCCUGGGUGGUAUACAAAGUUUAAAAUUACAUAUGAAACAUCACCAAGAAUACCAUCAAAUUAAGAGGAAUAAAACCAUUCAACCAGCUGCAAAAUGUCAUACUAUAAAAUGACUGGGAAAAUAAAAUAGGUUUAAGCUGGUGUCGAAACUAAUAAAGUGUUCAUGACUGCCAUAUCUCCCUCGGGAGGGAAUUUUCACAGUCUGGGUGCCAACACAGAGAAGUCCCUCUCUUUGUACAUGCAUGAUGCCCUAAGGAUCGAACAUAGCAAAGGACUUUCAUGGGCAAACCAUUGUUCUCUCUGCUAAGCCUUGAAUCUGUGGGCACACAGGUAGAAAUGGCUGCUUAAUUCCUAAGAUAUGGAAGCUCUUUGUGUACAGCUGCAAAAUACUGUACAUUUUUACUUAUUGUUUACAAAGGGUUGGAUCCAAUAUUAGUUCUGCUCAGAGGAGAUGCAUUUAGAUUAAUGGGCAUGCCUAACUUAGGUCCAUUGAUUUCAAUGGGUCUACUCUAAGUAGAACUUUGUUGGCUACAACCCUGUGAUUUAGGCAGAAAUUAAAGUUUGGGGCUGGGCUGGGAAACGAAAGCCAAACUGAACCGAUCUGUCAUUUGAAGGAGGGGGAAGCAAAGGACUGAAAAAUUGUUAUUUUUAUUUCUAAAUGCAGACCCAGGUUUCACUGGUGAAGUGAAGCCUAGCUGCUAACAGGCCACCCCCCUCCUUUCAUUUUCCUCUCUUUCUUGCGCUGCUCCUUUUACAGUGUCUUCAGGGCUAUUCUGCUAAUGGGGGGGGUGGCUGAAACUUACAUGUAUACAAAACGAAACUCUCUGCUACAUUUAAUCAUACAUUAAUAAAAGUAGAAGCGGUGGCUCAAAACUCCAGCACUGAAUAAUUAAAUUACAGUGAGAUUAACAUAACAUGCAGCCUAUCCCACUGUUGCAACAAAAGCACUGUUUGAAAAUAAAUAAAUAAAAACCCAGAGAAGGAGCAAAAUGACUCAACUUUCCUAAAUUCGUUCAAAAAUGCUGUUAAUGAAUUAAGAAAUCCUAUUAGCUACUUAAGAAGCAAAAAAAAUUGUUAUUUUUAUUUAGUAUGUAUGUAUAAAGUAUGUAUAUAACACUAAGUGUCAUCAACAUAUAGAAAUGAAAGAGACAACACACACACACAAACACAGCUUGCAUAGUGAAGUGAUAACUUUGAAGUAACUAUGCCAGAUCAGAUUGUUUGACAGAGCACAGUAAUGAUAUUUACUUCUUCUGUGAGAAAUAAAAUCACUAUGGUUUUUUUAAAUGGAUGCAGGAGAAAGACAGAAUGGGUAUCAUCGCUUUUGUAUCUGAAGAAGUGUGCAUGCACACGAAAGCUCAUACCAAGAACUAACUUAGUUGGUCUUUAAGGUGCUACUGGAAGGAAUUUUUUUUGUUUAUCGCUUUUCUAGGUUAGGAUUCCCCUCAUACCAACUCUCCUUCACACCAUUUCCAACCUACUAGAAUAAAAACAAACAAGCCCAAGUGUUAGAUUAUCAGUGCUUCUUUCCCAGUGCUUAUACUUUUUAUAAACAGUUGACAAAAAAAUAAAGUCACCAAAUAAGGAAUCAAGACUUGUUAACACAUAUAAUUUUCAAAACCACAAGUGGAAUAAAAGGCAGCAAUGCAGAAACUGUUACAGACUGCAGAUAAAAUUAUUCAAGUGUGCAUUCAAG
Podarcis muralis (Common wall lizard) is the source of this 2106-nucleotide long non-coding RNA. Lineage: Eukaryota; Metazoa; Chordata; Lepidosauria; Squamata; Lacertidae. The record is from Ensembl.